Molecule: ribosomal RNA, 377 nt
Filed under: uncultured bacterium
Lineage: Bacteria
Description: bacterial SSU rRNA
Rfam family: Bacterial small subunit ribosomal RNA
Source: RNAcentral
AUACGUAGGGUCCGAGCGUUGUCCGGAGUUACUGGGCGUAAAGCGCGCGCAGGCGGCGGUGUAAGCAUGGCGUGAAAGCCCCCGGCUCAACCGGGGAGGGUCGUCGUGGACUGCACCGCUUGAGGGCGGUAGGGGCUGGUGGAAUGCCUGGUGUAGUGGUGAAAUGCGUAGAGAUCAGGCGGAACACCCGUGGCGAAGGCGGCCAGCUGGGCCGACCCUGACGCUGAGGCGCGAAGGCGUGGGGAGCGAACGGGAUUAGAUACCCCGGUAGUCCACGCAGUAAACGAUGCAGACUAGGCGUGGGGGGAGUUGACCCCCUCCGUGCCGGAGCCAACGCGGGAAGUCUGCCGCCUGGGGAGUACGGCCGCAAGGCUAAA